RNAcentral lists this transfer RNA (74 nucleotides) under Arcanobacterium haemolyticum. Its description in RNAcentral is "tRNA-Arg(acg)". It matches the Rfam family "tRNA". From Rfam's summary of the family: Transfer RNA (tRNA) molecules are approximately 80 nucleotides in length. Their secondary structure includes four short double-helical elements and three loops (D, anti-codon, and T loops). The record is from RNAcentral. Lineage: Bacteria; Bacillati; Actinomycetota; Actinomycetes; Actinomycetales; Actinomycetaceae. RNAcentral also lists the same sequence under 2 other names.
GCGCCCGUAGCUCAACGGAUAGAGCGUCUGACUACGGAUCAGAAGGUUGGGGGUUCGAGUCCCUCCGGGCGCGC